RNAcentral lists this ribosomal RNA (464 nucleotides) under Weissella confusa. RNAcentral describes it as "bacterial SSU rRNA". It matches the Rfam family "Bacterial small subunit ribosomal RNA", at positions 338 to 795 of the family's 1533-position model. Lineage: Bacteria; Bacillati; Bacillota; Bacilli; Lactobacillales; Lactobacillaceae. The record is from RNAcentral.
CCUACGGGAGGCAGCAGUUUCGAAUCAUUCACAAUGGGCGAAAGCCUGAUGGUGCGACGCCGCGUGAGGGAUGAAGGUCUUCGGAUUGUAAACCUCUGUCACCGGGGAAGAAACGCUUCAAGUUAACAGUUUGAAGCCUGACUUAACCCGGAGAGGAAGCAGUGGCUAACUCUGCGCCAGCAGCCGCGGUAAUACAGAGACUGCAAGCGUUAUUCGGAUUCACUGGGCGUAAAGGGUGCGCAGGCGGUUGGGUGUGUCAGAUGUGAAAUCCCGAGGCUCAACCUCGGAACUGCGUCUGAAACUACUCGACUAGAGUACUGGAGAGGGUAACGGAAUUCACGGUGUAGCAGUGAAAUGCGUAGAUAUCGUGAGGAACACCAGAGGCGAAGGCGGUUACCUGGACAGUUACUGACGCUCAGGCACGAAAGCAUGGGGAGCAAAAGGGAUUAGAUACCCUGGUAGUC